Long non-coding RNA from Daphnia pulicaria, 382 nucleotides. RefSeq lists it as uncharacterized. The record is from RefSeq and is a predicted model, not a curated record. The transcript has 3 exons. Lineage: Eukaryota; Metazoa; Arthropoda; Branchiopoda; Diplostraca; Daphniidae.
ACAACUUUUUUGGAAACGAACACGUGGCUGCACGAAAAAUAGCACAAUAAAUGCAAUUACAAAAAUGUCAAAUGUGGUCCUCGUGUCAACUCUGGUCUCGAAUAUUUAUAAUCGCUCAAUAUUACACACUCCUGCCAUGCUCCUGCCAUGCUGUUUAGCAGAUUUGAGACCUGAGCCAGCCAUCAUAACAACAAGAUAUGCCAGUUUUGCUUCUGCUGCUAUUAACCUGCUGUCAUCAGCAACAAUCUCAGGAUCAUUGCUUGGAUAAUCAGCAUCCAGUUUGAUUGGGAAAACUCUGUCCUCGUGUAUGCCCAUGUGAGUGUGGGUGUAUUCACGAGGAUGACGCCCUUUUUCCGUCAUUCAACUUUUCUGCGGAUGGAGC